This 230-nucleotide unclassified non-coding RNA is filed under the name Hevea brasiliensis (rubber tree). The record is from RNAcentral. Lineage: Eukaryota; Viridiplantae; Streptophyta; Magnoliopsida; Malpighiales; Euphorbiaceae.
CGGAAGAAUGACAGUGGAAGCUACAAAAGUCCUAAUCUUCGAAGAUCAUUGACCAUAGAAAAUGAUCACAAUGAUAGAUAUGAACCAGUCCAGUUGCGCAUUGAAACUCAGGGUAGUUUUGGAGUUUCGAAGAGUACAAUUAGUGGACCUUGGGUCCAGGACUGCAGGGUCUUAAAUGCAGAGACAAAAAAUGGGGGCUCUAGUUCAAGUUAUACAGAGAGUAAGACUCG